CCGCUGAAUUUAAGCAUAUCAGUAAGUGGAGGAAAAGAAACUAACAAGGAUUACCUUAGUAGUGGCGAAUGAACAGGUAAAAGCUCAAAAUGAAAAUCUCAAUGAGAAUUGUAAUCUAUAGAUUUUUUGCAGAAAGCAAAGUGAACGCAGAAGUCCUUGAAAAGGGACAGCAGAGAGGGUGAUACUCCCGUACUCGGCGUGAGCUAGCAAUAUGCAAGAGGUCAAAGAGUCGCGUUGCUUGGGAUUGCAGCGCUAAAUGGGAGAUAAACUUCUUCUAAAGCUAAAUAUUUAUGGGAAACCGAUAGCGAACAAGUACUGUGAAGGAAAGAUGAAAAGAACUUUGAAAAGAGGGUUAAAAGACUUGAAAUCGUUGAAAAGGAAGCGGAUGGAGAGAUAAAUUGGCGGCUAAUUUAGCAGUCAAAAGACAAAUUGAGGUCUUAUUGUAGGAAUCAGUGAGUGGGAAGAUUUCCUGUUUACAAAGCUACAAUGAGGCCUGAGGGAGCGAUGCUGAAUUUGUCGAAAAAGCUUCAUCUGACCCGUCUUGAAACAGGGACCAAGG
Molecule: ribosomal RNA, 559 nt
Filed under: uncultured ciliate
Lineage: Eukaryota; Ciliophora
Description: partial large subunit ribosomal RNA
Rfam family: Eukaryotic large subunit ribosomal RNA
Source: RNAcentral